GGGGAAUAUUGCACAAUGGGGGAAACCCUGAUGCAGCCAUGCCGCGUGUGUGAAGAAGGCCUUCGGGUUGUAAAGCACUUUCAGUAGGGAGGAAGGGUUGAUGUCUAAUACGCAUCAGCAUUGACGUUACCUACAGAAGAAGCACCGGCUAACUCCGUGCCAGCAGCCGCGGUAAUACGGAGGGUGCAAGCGUUAAUCGGAAUAACUGGGCGUAAAGCGCACGCAGGCGGUUAGAUAAGUCAGAUGUGAAAUCCCCGGGCUCAACCUGGGAACUGCAUUUGAAACUGUCUGACUAGAGUCUUGUAGAGGGGGGUAGAAUUCCAGGUGUAGCGGUGAAAUGCGUAGAGAUCUGGAGGAAUACCGGUGGCGAAGGCGGCCCCCUGGACAAAGACUGACGCUCAGGUGCGAAAGCGUGGGGAGCAAAC
This 425-nucleotide ribosomal RNA is filed under the name uncultured bacterium. RNAcentral describes it as "bacterial SSU rRNA". It matches the Rfam family "Bacterial small subunit ribosomal RNA", at positions 356 to 773 of the family's 1533-position model. The record is from RNAcentral.